AAGUGGCAUGAAUGUUUGUUUUGACGAGUGUAACGACCGGUGUUACGACGCUUGUUGCGUUGGUAUCUUCGUUUAUAGCGUUGGGGUGAUGAUCGACGUGGGAUGUACGCGAGAUGCGGUUAUGGUUCCCCUCCCCCAAUUGUCUGCUUCCGUUCACUUCUCUCCUUCCCUCCUCGCCGUUCCUCCUCCUCCAACAAACCAUUGAUCCUCUCGCCGCCUCCUAACAAACAUUGAUCGCUGACGUCUCAUCGUCGAACUCUCGCGACGGCGGCAGCUCGUUCAGAUAUUCGAGGGACUGGUGCUCGCCAGGAAAUGAUACUGCCGGCUGUACGCGAUGGCGAUGAAUCCGAUAGAGGCUUGCGUUGAUCGCCUGGACGUGGAUCCGACCUGCCAGAUGGAUGCAGCAUGAAUAGUGUCUUCUUUGGAAUCUUGUUGAAGGUUUUUUUAGCAUAUUUGCAGAGUUGAUAAAGCGAACUGACAAGGACAAGGCUUGAGCCUCAUCCUGUCCGGGCUUUUGCUUCGAGGGGAGAACUUGAUAUUGCCAAAUCAGAUUGCACUUUCGAAAGGUUCUCGAGUUCGUACGAAACAGCUACAACUCGAGUUCGUGGAGUGUCACAAGAAUUCUGGCGGGAAAUUACGAACUCCAAAUAGCCGCGGCAGAGCUCACAGCAAAUGCUGCGUUAUUUACCUGCAAAGAUUGAUAAUUCAAAUUCUCAUUCGAGAAGUUUUUAAGAAUAAACAAUCUAAAACAAUAAAAAACAAACUUCCUGAUAACGGAACAAGAAGAAAUUGACGGAUUUAGUUGGCAUCCACAGUAUAAAAUAAAAAUAAAAUAAAAGUGUAUUCAACACUCCUCAGAGUCAUCUCCAAAGCGACCGUUGUUAUAAACAAUAAAGAUGCCUAAAUUUUUUAUUAUAUACACAAAUUUAGUCCAUGUACAAACUCAGAUGUCGUGGAAAACCACUGACGACAGCCGAUCUAUGAAAUUUGUAUGAAAUUUCUUUUUAUAUCCUAUUUGGUGAAUGUCUUAUCACUUAACAUAACUAUUGCACCAACACAAUGAUUUGCAACCUAAACUCCCCAAAAAUUUCACGGAACCACAAUCCAACAAAUGUAAAAUGUCAAAAGCCUAUUAACAGUAAUUAUAAAAUGUCAAAAGCAUAUUUAUAAAUUUAAUGCACCUAACAUCAAAUUUAAUCAUGCAAAAUGUCAAAAGCCUAUUAACAGUAAUUAUGAUAACACAAAAUGUCUGCAUUACCCCAUAGUAUAAAAAAAUUUAAGCUCCAAAGACACAAACCUUCUGUCGUUCUUCAGGAAUCAACCACAAUUUUUGUUGGCACCAAGAGUGCAGAAUAAACUGGUUGUUCUUUAUCGAAGGUUGUUUGAUUUAAACUGUCAGUCUCUUUCCCAAGACUAAAUGUGUGUUGUAUUUAUAUUUACUCUUUUUAAUUUGAACCAUUGUUUUCUAAACCUUAAUAAAAUCGAAUAUCAUUGCUAGUACACACUCCUAAAAGUGAACAGAUACAUUAAACUUAUUUAAUAUACAACAAACAAUGACAUAAUUAGCAAAGUCACCUGUUUUAAACUAUGGAUGCUUACUCUGAACCAUGAUCUUCAUUCCCAGCAUAUUCUUCUUUUCGAAAAGUGAACACAUACAUCAAACAUAAGACUACAUGUGUCUAAUCAGUUCACAUACAUCAAACACAUGCCACAAUUUUUUUGAUCCAAGCAAAUCAGAGUUUACAAAAGUUCUUUUCAACCAUUUCUUAUGGGCUUCAAUGAGUAAACAUCACCUGUUUUAACAUACAUCACCUGUUUUAACAAUAUUUUCCACAAACUCAAAACAUUGCAGGUGUACACAUUAUUUAAACCAUGGAAAUCUUUUUCUUUUUUUUUUAUGCAUCCGGUCUCAGUGGUGCAUGCAUUUUAAUUAAAUUUCAAGCCCAGGUUUCCAAACAUCAACUUGUUUCAUCCACCAAUAUUAACUAUGGGUAAACAUCAAAUGUUGCAAAAAGUAGAUAUUAUCAUCACUGAAACCUAAAAUUGAAAUUGUCGGCCAAGGACAUCGACAUCCAAUAAUUGCAACUUAGAACAAUCAUUUUUAUAAUUUUAGAAAAAAAUUAAAAUCAGUGAAACUGAGACAUUAACAAUUUCCUAAGUGCACAGCCAACAGACCUCAUCUGGUUGAGAGAAGUUUGUUCUACAA
Molecule: long non-coding RNA, 2206 nt
Organism: Musa acuminata AAA Group (dessert banana)
Lineage: Eukaryota; Viridiplantae; Streptophyta; Magnoliopsida; Zingiberales; Musaceae
Exons: 4
Source: RefSeq, a predicted model, not a curated record